This 161-nucleotide non-coding RNA is filed under the name Legionella lansingensis. RNAcentral describes it as "6S / SsrS RNA". It matches the Rfam family "6S / SsrS RNA". From Rfam's summary of the family: E. coli 6S RNA was the first non coding RNA to be sequenced, but its function was unknown until recently. The record is from Rfam by way of RNAcentral. Lineage: Bacteria; Pseudomonadati; Pseudomonadota; Gammaproteobacteria; Legionellales; Legionellaceae.
UUUAACCCGACAGCGAGUGAUUUUUUGAACCAAUACUCGCAUAUAGGGAGGCGUCCUGUAGCCGGCGUUGAGCAAGCCCACCUUGAAGUGGGAAGCCUGAACCGUCUCAUCUGCCACCCACUUGAACCUCAGGGUUCAAAAUCUGGACUGUCGGGCUCCUC